GUUGCCAUAUAUGGGCAUGGCGUUCUGUUGCUAGGCGAUGGGAGCGGAGGCCCUCAUAGAGGGUUUAAUUUUAAUUCAAUUGUAUUUAAUUUAUGGCUAUUUCCAUGGAAAAUCACCUCCUUCUGUUGAUACAGAGUUCCCGUCGCCUAUCCGUGGUCCUUCUGGAAAAACACUCUUUAUUUUUGGCCUUGGUGUUCCACACCUGUGCCUCUCUCCUCUGCUGGAGGCCAGGAAUAGGGAGAGACUGAAAAAAAGUUGAGGGAAAAGAGAAUGCUUUAAGGAAUUGCAGGUAAAGCCCUCAGAAUCAGUACCUAGCAAGGUGAGAAGGUGGUUUUCUACCAGGUGCAGACCAUCACGAGGAGGGAAAAAUAACCUGGUUUGUCAGAAAUGAAUUCAGGAUAUUUGAACUGUAUUUCAGAGGAAGCUGAGGGGAGACCUCCACAGAUGUGCCCAGCAUCCCAAUCCAUGUUGGCUUCCUGCUGCCCUCACUCCAUCCUGCUUCCUCUGUGAAUGGAGUUUUCCAGAGACAAUCCGCCUUUUCGGGCUUGUUUUCAGCAGGAAAAGCAGGAUCAGCUGUCUCGGAGCUGCUGUUGCCUCAGAUGUUCAUUGAUUUGUUCUGUAAUUGACAAAAGCAGCUGGAUGAGCUCGGAUCAGCCAUCAUUGCUGACAGGAUCAGCUCUGGGAUCUCUGCAGCACACGGAGCCCCAGGCCAUCCCUGCAGCUCCAAACUGUCCUCCAGCCAGCAGGAGCUGCCAGAGCCUGGGAAUGCCUGCAGAGAACUUUGGGGGAAAAUGGGCACUGAAAAGAUGAGCAAAUCCCUCUUUCCCCCAAGAGGAAACUUCUACACAAACGUGUUUUCCUCAGUGCCAGGGAUCUGGCACCUAAAGCUAAUUCUGGGAUAAUUAUGGAGCAGGGAUGAGUUUUCCCUUUAAAAAUGGUGAGAAACACACUUAGAAUCUGUUCCCUAAUUAAAUCUACUCCAGCAGAGAGGGACAACCAGGAAUGCUUGGUGUCUUAUCCCAGCUUUGAUGCCUCUUGGAAUGGUCCAAGCUGAUGUAGAAGUCGACGAUGCCACGUUAUCCCUCGGGACACUGCGGAUCCUUGGCAUUCCCACAGCUCUUCCUCAGCAUGGAUCCGGGCCAGCUCAAGGAUUUCUAUCUAUGGCUCUGUCAGGAACAGCAAAGGGAGAUCCCAAAGGUGGGAAGGAGAAGAGCUGUGGAAUGCUGGAGCUGCAGCCUGAACUCGCGGACAUCCUGGGAGUUCUUGACGUGGCUGUGCCAAAGGGAUCCCAUCUGGAUCCUUAGAGGAAUUUGCAUUUGGAGCAGCGUUCCAGAAGGAUCCUGGAAGCUUUAGCGUGAGGCUGGGGUUUAUUCCUCUCUACCCGAGGGCGAAUCCGAUGGAUUUGGGAGCGGCCGGGUCACUGCAGCCGGCAGAUGGCACUGACUCAUCUCACUGCUCCAUGGAAACACCCCAGCCUGCUGCAUUCCCUCUCCAGGACCUUCUGCCUUUGGAAGCAGUGAUGCUGGAAAACAUAUUUGGAGGUUGAGUAAGGCCCUGGCUUCCUUCUGGAACUGUUUGUGCUGGGAUAAAAUUCCCUUGUCUGCGUGCUCAGAGAUUCCUGGGAUCCUGGGUGUAGCAGCAGCUGAGGCACAGAGCUUGUGCUUCCCAAAGCAGAGUGACUGUGAGGCUGAUCCUGGGGAUAAUCUUCCCUGGCAUGCUUUUGGAAGAUGUGAUCAGGCAGAUACAUCAGUGUUGUUUCCUUCAGGCCAGGCUGGAGCGAGCUGGGAUAGGGAAGAUGCCCUGCACAGAUGAGACCAUCUGGAAGGUCCCUUCCCACUCCAACCAUGCCGCGAUUCCGUGAUGUUUCCCAGGUGCCAGAGGAGCUGUGGGAUCAGGGUGGACGCUUCUCCUGCCACAGCCACGCAUCUCCCCCUGUGAUGAACGCUCCAACAGCUCCAAUUCCACCCGUCUCCCAUCUCCAGGGCUCCGAUGUAGGACAAGGAGGGCUAAAACGGGCAGGAGGGUGGGAGUGCUGUGGGAGCAGAUUACAAAAGGAGCUAUUUUUCCUUUAAGCUUCUCAGCUCGCCCCCUGCUUAGGUCCUGACAGCUGUCAGAGCUCAGCAGGUGUCCCAGGGGGAUUUGGGAGGGCACGGAAGCAGCUUGGCACACCCGGGGGUGGCACUGCUUGUGGAUUCUCUGGUGCUGCCAGUGCCACCAGCGAUGGGGACAGUGGUGGCCCUAAAUUUUCUAUGCUCAAAGAUCCUCUUGGACAGCCUCAAGCUCUUCCCUGCUUGGAUUUCACCUCAAACCCCACCUGUUUCGGUGUGGGAAUGACUGGAUCCUCCUGGGUUUGUUUUUUUAUUUUUCCCAUGAUUAUCAACUCCAAGCUGGAACCAGCAGGAAAUUCCUGGUGGGCAGCAGUCCCUGUCCUGGGGGAUCAGGAUGUCCUGUGGAAUGUCCUGGGUGCAGGAUGAGGCUGAGGAGAGGCCGUCUGGGAAUGCUCUGGGGACAGCCCAGCUCUGUGGAGGGACAUUUGUCCGUAAAGGUGGCAGGAGACGGGAUGAUGCUCGGUCACCAUGGCAACGGCAGUGCAGGGAUGCUGGGGACGCAGCUGUGUCCUGGCAGAGGUGCUGGGGAGCUGCUGGAGGUCUCCUGUCCUGAUCCCGGGCUGAAUUCCAACAUUUCAGACAGUGUGGGCAACCUGGGAGGGGCUCUGCUCAACCAGGACGCCCCGAGCUGGAUUUGAAAACAGGAAUAUUCCUGAAAUUCAAGAGCUAUUUGUGCUCCUAAAUCCCAGGAAGAGAAACAAGAGCUCUGGAGCAGAGGCCUCAGAAACCACCUGCCACUCACAUUUUGCCUCUCCAUGGAUCUAAGUUUCCAAAGGCUCACGGAGCCUGGGAUAUGCAAAUGACUCUUGGCAUGUGCUGAUUGUGAUAAAUGGGAAGCAAAGCAGGUGGAUGAUCCUUUAGGAAUCAUAAAGCCCCUCUUGUGACACCGAGGAUAUCUGGCCUUGGAAUUCUGCACCACUCUUUCCUCAGCACGUACACCCGGGAACAGGGCAGGAGUUGGAAGAAAUGGAUUUGCAAAUGGAAGAAAUGGAUUUGCAAACCUGUGCUGUUCAGCAGAGCUCAGAGAGCCCCCUUGGAAAUAUGGAGGCAGAGCCUGUGUCAUUCCCAGCUUUCCAGGGUGCUCUGUUCAUUGUCCUGUGUGCUGCUGGAUAUAAUGGAUCCUUUGAAAUUCCUCCAAAUUAAAACCUCCCCUCUCCCCCUGUCAGCAGGGACCAGCCCCUGUUUGUGGAACUCCAUGGUUAUCAGGUGCCUCCAGCACUCUGCAAAAACUCAGAGUUGGGGAAUAUUUCCCUUUUUAAGGCUGGAUUUAGUUCCUUUGGAGCUGGAAUGUUACAUUCCCCCAGCUGGGCUUUGCUUUGGACAGGAAGAGGCUGAGCUGGAACAGGAGCUGGGUGUGAAUCUCCCUGAGCACUGGGAGAGGGCAGUGCCAGGCUCUCUGUCCCUUCCCUAAAGGAAUGCCCCUGGCAGUUCCCUGUCUGCGUUUGGCAGCUGAACAGGAGCAGUGGGAAUUUGGAAAUAAACCCAGCAGAGAGGGGGAAACCCCAGGAUCUAAAGCAAGCAAGAGAAAUCUCACUUUCUCCUGCAAUUUCAGAGGCCUGAGCCAGCAAACAAACAGUUAUUUCCCUGUGCCCACGCUGGGUAGAUCCAUAAUUCCUGAGAGACGGGGGAGCAGUGCUCCAAACACGAGCUGCUGGCUGAUGGAUAGCUGGGAUAAUGGCACAGAUAAAUCAGGAGAGAGAUCUGCUCCAGGGGUGCCUCCAUCCCUGCUCCUGGGAGCCUUGGAAGUGCAAGGCUGAGGUCUGGAAAGGAAGGAGCAAAGCUGAGAAGUUGUGUUUCCUUAGUGUGAAAUCUGUUGGGAUAUAGGAACUGGAAUUUUGGCUGGGAUUUGGGCAAGGCAGUGCUGCUGAAGAGGAAUCAAAAGGAUUUGGUGUUUCUUUCCAGCAUAUCUUGGAUUUCUCUACAAUCCCAGGGCAGAGGGGUUCAAAUCCUGUUCUCCUCUUGGGAAGGAAGAUUCCCUUUCCUUCACCUCUCACAAACUGGAGAUAAAUGAAAUGAUUCCAGGAGGCUGCUGGGGGUGGGAAGGGGCUCCCAGGGAAUGGCUCCAGCUCCUUCCUCCAGCAGCCUGUGGCAAUUUUAAUUUCCAUGGAAAUCCUGCCCAAGUCUUCCCAGCUCAGCUGGCAUUUUUCUGCUAUCCCAGUGAUGUUCAAAUCAAUUCUCUGCCUAAUCAGCUUGUAAAUAUUAUUCCAAGGGGUUUUUCCCCCCUCUCUGUUUAGGUGUGUUAGGCUGUGGAAGGAGAAACACAUCGGGAAAAAAACAGGAGGGAAAAGCAUCUGCUUCUCUCUUCCACUUCCAGCACAACCUGCUGCUGAAAUGGGAUAAAGACCCAGCUCUGGAACUGCUUUUUCUUGUGGGGAGGGAAGAGAGAGACUCUUGGAGGUGUUGAAAUUGAGAUUUCUCCGAAGGAUUGGAGCACCAAAUGUGUUGUGAAUCAGAGGCAGAGGGUGGGAAUGCAUCCCUUGUGUCAGCAGGGAGGCUGUGGAUGCACAGGGCAGGAAUAGGAGAUGCAUCAGCCUUGGGAAAGGUGUUUGAGGGUCACAUUCCAGCAGGAAUUAGAGAGGUGUCCCAGCAUCAUCUGACUUCCCUGUGCCUGGCAUUCCCGAAGAAUGGACCAGGAUUCAGAGCCAGAGCACAAACCAUCGGUGUCCUCCUGGAAAAGGCACCUAAAUAAAGGCAGCUUUGACACCAGCAUUAUUUUUUUGGCCAAGUUUGUGGAAAAUCCAUCAGGAAUUUGCCUUUCAAUGUGAUUUUUUUAUUGCAUCUCUGGGGUCUGAGCAAGCUGUGCCCUCUCUCCAGGACCUGCCUGGGUGGGAUAAGAUCCAGGGAAAGCUGGAAACUUGGCAAACUCCUGUGGUAGAAAGUGAACCUGGGGUUGCUUUUUAAAGGCUGAGUGUAAACACAUCCCAGGAACUGCCAGUCUAUGGAAAACAGAGAUAAGGGAGUCUCUGGGUGCCUCUCCUGGUUUCCCAUAUUUAUUUGAUAACUGGUGAAUGCAGCAGACGCUGGUGGCUAAAAAUAAACGAGGGAGCUGCUCCAUGGGAUUCUGGUUUGGAGGGGAACAGUCCUUAGUGCCAGCUCAGGAAUCCACAUUCCCGGUUUUUAACGUGGAAGGGGAUUUGCAGCAGGAUCUUAUCCCAGGGGAAUUGUUUUGCUGGAGCUCCUCGCCGGCAGUGCCGUGGAUUUGCCAUGGAUUUGGGAGGACGCCAGGCUGAGGGUGAUGGAUACCCUGCUGCAUCCACAUUCCAGGGCAAUCAGAGCCUAAGGGACCUGCACCAAAGCCAUCCCCCCAGCCAAAAAAACCCCGAAAAAGGCAUGGAUUGCUCAGAGCUGGCAGGAAUGCUGAACCUUCCCGCAAGGAGCUGCUUCCCAGCCCAGAGCUGGGCAGUCCUGUGCCCAUCCCAGUGAUGGGAAGCAGGAUGGGACCAUUGAAGUCACCUUCAAGAAUCCGUGUCCCUGCAAAGCUCUGCUCCAUGGAAUGGGAGUUUGCACUUGGAUCGGGAGGCAGUGACGGGAUCCGGAGCUUGGGACCACAGCCGGUGUGGAGCCAGGAGCCAGGGAUGAGCUCCCUGUGGGAAAGGCAGGGCAGAGUUAUCCAUGGGCAUAAACCCAGCUCUAAAACCCAGGAUUUGGAGCUGGGACAUGCAGUGGGAGCCUCUUUCCUGCUUAGCUGAGCCCAGCUCCUUUUCCAGCCAUUCCCGUUAAUCCCCACGGCUCUGCCCAGGGCGAGGGAAAGCGCUGCUGGCUGCUGGAGAAAGCUACCCCGGGGAGGGAAAACUUCCUCCAAUUUCUUCCCCAUUGACUGUGACAUCUGUUUUGGGAUGAGUCAGGCGGGUUCCCAGCGCCUGUGUGGGAGGGAAGAAGGGCGAGAGCCGGAGGGGUCGGACCUGCCGGUCUCUGGCCGCACAUCCCUGCUCCAUUCCCACAUCCCAGCCCCAUCCUCUCAUCCCAGCCCCAUCCUCUCAUCCCUGCCCCAUCCCCGUAUCCCUGCCCCAUCCCCGUA
RNA transcript from Poecile atricapillus (Black-capped chickadee), 6126 nucleotides. It is a transcript of the gene named chemerin chemokine-like receptor 1, with no coding region annotated. NCBI's taxonomy places the organism in Eukaryota, Metazoa, Chordata, Aves, Passeriformes, Paridae. The record is from RefSeq and is a predicted model, not a curated record. The transcript is spliced from 4 exons.